GACGAACGCUGGCGGCGUGCUUAACACAUGCAAGUCGAACGGAAAGGCCCUGCUUUUGUGGGGUGCUCGAGUGGCGAACGGGUGAGUAACACGUGAGUAACCUGCCCUUGACUUUGGGAUAACUUCAGGAAACUGGGGCUAAUACCGGAUAUGAUCUCCUGCUGCAUGGUGGGGGUUGGAAAGUUUCGGCGGUUGGGGAUGGACUCGCGGCUUAUCAGCUUGUUGGUGGGGUAGUGGCUUACCAAGGCUUUGACGGGUAGCCGGCCUGAGAGGGUGACCGGCCACAUUGGGACUGAGAUACGGCCCAGACUCCUACGGGAGGCAGCAGUGGGGAAUAUUGCACAAUGGGCGGAAGCCUGAUGCAGCAACGCCGCGUGCGGGAUGACGGCCUUCGGGUUGUAAACCGCUUUCGCCUGUGACGAAGCGUGAGUGACGGUAAUGGGUAAAGAAGCAACGGCUAACUACGUG
RNAcentral lists this ribosomal RNA (468 nucleotides) under uncultured bacterium. Its description in RNAcentral is "partial 16S ribosomal RNA". It matches the Rfam family "Bacterial small subunit ribosomal RNA", at positions 28 to 507 of the family's 1533-position model. The record is from RNAcentral.